Molecule: ribosomal RNA, 447 nt
Filed under: uncultured bacterium
Lineage: Bacteria
Description: bacterial SSU rRNA
Rfam family: Bacterial small subunit ribosomal RNA
Source: RNAcentral
CCCAGACUCCUACGGGAGGCAGCAGUGGGGGAUAUUGCACAAUGGGGGAAACCCUGAUGCAGCGACGCCGCGUGGGUGAAGAAGUAUUUCGGUAUGUAAAGCCCUCUCAGCAGGGAAGAAAGAAGACGGUACCUGACUAAGAAGCCCCGGCUAACUACGUGCCAGCAGCCGCGGUAAUACGUAGGGGGCGAGCGUUAUCCGGAUUCACUGGGUGUAAAGGGAGCGUAGACGGCCGUGCAAGCCAGGAGUGAAAGCCCGGGGCCCAACCCCGGGACUGCUCUUGGAACUGUGCGGCUGGAGUGCGGGAGGGGCAGGCGGAAUUCCUGGUGUGGCGGUGAAAUGCGUAGAUAUCAGGAGGAACACCGGCGGCGAAGGCGGCCUGCUGGACCGCGACUGACGUUGAGGCUCGAAAGCGUGGGGAGCGAACAGGAUUAGAUACCCCGGUUU